AUAAUGACUCUUGGCAACGGAUAUCUCGGCUCUCGCAUCGAUGAAGAACGUAGCGAAAUGCGAUACUUGGUGUGAAUUGCAGAAUCCCGUGAACCAUCAAGUCUUUGAACGCAAGUUGCGCCCGAAGCCAUUAGGUUGAGGGCACGCCUGCCUGGGCGUCUCACA
RNAcentral lists this ribosomal RNA (165 nucleotides) under Diploknema siamensis. RNAcentral describes it as "5.8S ribosomal RNA". It matches the Rfam family "5.8S ribosomal RNA". Rfam says of the family: 5.8S ribosomal RNA (5.8S rRNA) is a component of the large subunit of the eukaryotic ribosome. Lineage: Eukaryota; Viridiplantae; Streptophyta; Magnoliopsida; Ericales; Sapotaceae. The record is from RNAcentral.